CAUAUAGUUUUAUAGGGUUCCGCAGUUUAAUUUAAACAACUGGUCUGGUCCGAGAUAAAACGCACAGUUUAAUGUGUUCACGGAAGGAUAAAAGCCUGGGAGAU
This 104-nucleotide small RNA is filed under the name Ruminiclostridium cellulolyticum. RNAcentral describes it as "Clostridium cellulolyticum Guanidine-I sequence". It matches the Rfam family "Guanidine-I riboswitch aptamer". Rfam says of the family: This family represents a conserved RNA structure found upstream of the ykkC and yxkD genes in Bacillus subtilis and related genes in other bacteria. The function of this family is unclear although it has been suggested that it may function to switch on efflux pumps and detoxification systems in response to harmful environmental molecules. RNAcentral also lists the same sequence under 1 other name. Lineage: Bacteria; Bacillati; Bacillota; Clostridia; Eubacteriales; Oscillospiraceae. The record is from RNAcentral.